This 336-nucleotide ribosomal RNA is filed under the name uncultured eukaryote. RNAcentral describes it as "LSU rRNA". It matches the Rfam family "Bacterial large subunit ribosomal RNA", at positions 2145 to 2479 of the family's 2925-position model. The record is from RNAcentral.
AGGUGGGAAGGCGUUGAAAAUUUUCUUGCGGGAAGAUUGGAGCCGUUGGUGAGAUACCACUCUAACAAUGCUAGGAUUCUAACCCUACACCGUUAUCCGGUUAGGGGACAGUUUCAGGUGGUCAGUUUGACUGGGGCGGUCGCCUCCCAAAAGGUAACGGAGGCGUGCAAAGGUUUCCUCAGGCUGGUCGGAAAUCAGUCGUAGAGUGUAGAGGCAUAAGGAAGCUUGAUUGUGAGACCUACAAGUCGAACAAAGACGAAAGUCGGCCUUAGUGAUCCGACGGUUCCGAGUGGAAGGGCCGUCGCUCAACGGAUAAAAGUUACUCUAGGGAUAACA